UCCAUGGCUAUUUUUAAUAGUUCCCUCACACCAUUCCGCAUGGAGAGAUUCACCUGAAACUCUACACUGAAGAUGUGACUCAUUGAAUUUUUCGAGGAAGUUCCCCUUAGGAAAAAUCAACGGGAAUUUUCGUCUACAGAAGUCUCCUUGAAAAUCCAAACAGAAAACAUUUCAGACAUUUUAGACGACUUGAAGGGGAUGCAAAAAAAUUAUCAAAACACAUUGAAGAAAUUGCCAGAAAUUGCGACAAUUUAAAUUUUCUUGUACUGGUUGUUGUACACUCCAUCCCCCUAAAGACCCCUAAAAAAGAGAAAAUUCAAUCCACCCGCACCCUAAAAAACUUCCAAAAUGGACUUUGGAGCGACGACUAAAAACAUCUCGAAUGCAAAAGAUUCUAUCUUCAGGAAGUCAAGCCGACGGCUUUGGACGCAACAUCCUACCACGCAUUUCGGGCUGAGAGAUUGGGCAUGGAGAUAGGAGACUUCUCCUGAAUGCGUUUUCAACCCCCGCAGAGGCAUUUAAAAAUAAAUCUCCCUCUCAGUGAAUGAACUUCUCCCCCCAAAAAUUGUCCUCAUGGGGGCAAUCAGUGCAUAUGUAUGAAAAUUCUGCAGAAAGUUUCAGGUCGAUUGCAAUUAAAUCUCGCAUAUAUGGGGGUGAUUAUGUACAU
Molecule: long non-coding RNA, 667 nt
Organism: Lutzomyia longipalpis
Lineage: Eukaryota; Metazoa; Arthropoda; Insecta; Diptera; Psychodidae
Exons: 3
Source: RefSeq, a predicted model, not a curated record